ACUAGUUGGCUUUUAAACAACAGAAAUUUAUUUCUCACUAAAUCAUCCAAGAUCAGUGUCUGGUGAGUGCAUGCUUCCUGGUUCAAAUAAAGCCAUCUUUAUUUUACACUGUCCACAUGGUAGAAGAGAAGAGGGAGCUCUCAGGGGUCCUUCUUAUGAUGAAUGACAGUAAUCCCGUUCAUGAGGCCCCUGCCCUUGUGACCUAAUCACCUCUCAAAGGCCCCAGAUCAUAAUACCAUCAUCACUUUGGGGUUUAGGACUUAACAUAAUAGAUUUGGGUGGGGUUAGUGGGAAGGCUGUUAACAACAUCAAAAUAAAUUGCAGAUAGAUGAAAUGUUUUAAGUGUUAAAAAGUUUUUUAAAAUAAAGAAGAUAGUUCACAAAGUAAAAUGGCCUUUAUACAUAAGACCUUACUUAAGAGAAAUACAAAUUAUAAGUAUACCAUUUUUUAACCCAUUAUUGGCAAAGAUUACAAGGUUUUUUUUAAAUAAUACUCCAUGUUGAUGAGGAUGGGAAAACAGGCACUCACAUACUGUGUGUGUAUGAUAUGAAUGGUCAUUGUUUCCUCCAAACUUGGCCAAUUUUCCAGAUAAAUUUAUGUUUUAUAAUUAGGAAUAAAAAAAAAAGAUUACUUAAUAAAAGUCCUUAAGAGAUAUGGUAAUGAACAGAAAAAAAGGGGGGCAUCUGUAAUAAUUUAAACAAUAAAGAUAUUUUUUAAAAUAUUUGGUAAUGAAUAAAUAAGAAUGACAUAAUAAUUUCUUUGUUUGAAAUAAUAUUUCUGAAGUUCCUGUGUGUAUUUUGUUCUUGGAUUAUGUCUGUUUUAUUUUAACUCCUGAAGUGGAUACAUUUUCAAGCUGCCUAAAAAUGUUUCUUAAUACCUUGCUCACACAUUCAAAAUGGGAACUGUAAUUCCUCUUCCUCCUCCCCCAUUAGACCACUUUUCCUCUUGCAUUCUGUAUCUUGCAAAAUGGUAUCUAGAAUGUUAUCUUUGAUAUAUAUAUAUUUUUUAGCCUUCUAUAUCCAGGUUCUUUUUUUAUCUUGCAGAUACCUUGAAUCUGGGCACUGUUUUUCUUUGUUCCUGCUUUAGUUCAUGCCUUUGUUAGUUUUAGGUUUAGGCAGAAUUCUUCUUUCUGGCCUGGUCUUUCCCUCUAGUUCAUUCUCUACUUGACCCUCUUAAAAGUAGGUAAUUUGGUCAUGUUCAGUUUUGCUAUAUAAAAUUUU
Pipistrellus kuhlii (Kuhl's pipistrelle) is the source of this 1220-nucleotide long non-coding RNA. RefSeq lists it as uncharacterized. The transcript has 2 exons. The record is from RefSeq and is a predicted model, not a curated record. Lineage: Eukaryota; Metazoa; Chordata; Mammalia; Chiroptera; Vespertilionidae.